This 503-nucleotide ribosomal RNA is filed under the name Anopheles stephensi (Asian malaria mosquito). Its description in RNAcentral is "partial 16S ribosomal RNA". It matches the Rfam family "Bacterial large subunit ribosomal RNA", at positions 1859 to 2622 of the family's 2925-position model. The record is from RNAcentral. Lineage: Eukaryota; Metazoa; Arthropoda; Insecta; Diptera; Culicidae.
CUGCCCACUGAAUUUUAAAGGGCCGCGGUAUUUUGACCGUGCGAAGGUAGCAUAAUCAAUAGUCUUUUAAUUGAAGGCUGGUAUGAAUGGUUGAAUGAGAUAUAUACUGUUUUUUUAAAAAUUUUUUAGAACUUUAUUUUUUAAUUAAAAAGUUAAAAUAUAAUUAAAAGACGAGAAGACCCUAUAGAUCUUUAUUUUUAUAAAUUAUAAUUUAUAAAGAAUUUUAAUAAUUAUAUUUUAGAUAAAAUUUUACUGGGGUGGUAUUAAAAUUAAAUUAACUUUUAUUAUUUAUUUACAUAAAUUUAUGAAUAAAAGAUCCUAUUUUAUGGAUUAAAAAUUUAAGUUACCUUAGGGAUAACAGCGUAAUUUUUUUAGAGAGUUCAUAUCGAUAAAAAAGAUUGCGACCUCGAUGUUGGAUUAAGAGUUAUUUUUAGGUGUAGAAGUUUAAAGUUUAGGUCUGUUCGACCUUUGAAUUCUUACAUGAUCUGAGUUCAAACCGGAGA